Molecule: non-coding RNA, 27 nt
Filed under: Homo sapiens (human)
Lineage: Eukaryota; Metazoa; Chordata; Mammalia; Primates; Hominidae
Source: RNAcentral
UGGGGGCCAUUCUGACUUCUGCGGAGU